This 633-nucleotide long non-coding RNA is filed under the name Brassica napus (rape). RNAcentral describes it as "long non-coding RNA (BNAP_LNC011726)". Lineage: Eukaryota; Viridiplantae; Streptophyta; Magnoliopsida; Brassicales; Brassicaceae. The record is from RNAcentral.
CGGAAUUAGAAAUGGUUGACCAACUUGAUCUUCCACACAAUGGCUCACCAAUAUGAUCUCGUGUUACUUUGCCGCUCAAACUUUUUCAUCCCCAACCAAGCAUUUGUUAAGAAUCCUCGGCCAAACAUGAUUGACAUAUGGUAUUCAAUCCAGGAAUUUAAUAGAUUUUGAGAGAAUUCAUAAAUAAUAAUUUUUGUAGUAGUUUAAAAAAUUCGCUGAUAUUUUAAUACAUUUACAUAAUUCUCAUGUUUAUUUUUUUUUAAGAAUUUUAAAGGAAUGCACAUGAAUUAGAAACACAUCUGGAAACAUAUGGUACAACACCCGAAAGUGUUGAGAAUCUUUACUUAAUACCUUCUGUAUGCAUCGUUCUCCGAGCAUUGUGACUGGUCGGCGAAGGAGGCGUUGGGUUCUAUAGAAUGUUAACCUAGGAGACGCUUUUUCUAGAAACCAUCACCACCAUAAGAAAUAUGCUCGCAUCAAAAUCAUCAUUUUUUGUUUCUUCGAUAUCCGUCAUGAUGUCUCCCUCUUUGCGAAAAUUUUGAUUCACGAAAAGGAAACCUAUCAAGUUUGUUGUCCGUGUGUUUUGUUUAGUUUUGUUUAGAAAAACUGAAAGUUUGUUGUCGGUGUGUUUUG